Molecule: unclassified non-coding RNA, 329 nt
Filed under: soil metagenome
Description: partial contains 5.8S ribosomal RNA, internal transcribed spacer 2, and large subunit ribosomal RNA
Rfam family: 5.8S ribosomal RNA (bases 1-120)
Source: RNAcentral
GAUGAAGAACGUAGCGAAAUGCGAUAAGUAAUGUGAAUUGCAGAAUUCAGUGAAUCAUCGAAUCUUUGAACGCACAUUGCGCCCCUUGGUAUUCCGAGGGGCAUGCCUGUUCGAGCGUCAUUAUAACCCCUCAAGCUCAGCUUGGUGUUGGGGCCUGCUGCACUGGCAGCCCUUAAAAUCAGUGGCGGCGCCAUCUGGCUCUAAGCGUAGUAAUUCUUCUCGCUAUGGAGUCCUGGUGGAUGCUUGCCAUCAACCCCCAAUUUUUCUAUGGUUGACCUCGGAUCAGGUAGGGAUACCCGCUGAACUUAAGAAUAUCAAUAAGCGGAGGU